AUUGAACGCUGGCGGCAGGCCUAACACAUGCAAGUCGAACGAGUGGCGGACGGGUGAGGAAUGUCUGGGAAACUGCCCGAUGGAGGGGGAUAACUACUGGAAACGGUAUCUAAUACCGCAUACCAUCGGAUGUGCCCAGAGGGUAUUAGCUUGUAGGUGGGGUAACGGCUCACCUAGGCGACGAUCCCUAGCUGGUCUGAGAGGAUGACCAGCCACACUGGAACGGAGACACGGUCCAGACGCCUACGGGAGGCAGCAGUGGGGAAUAUUGCACAAUGGGCGCAAGCCUGAUGCAGCCAUGCCGCGUGUGUGAAGAAGGCCUUCGGGGUGUAAAGCACUUUCAGCGGGGAGGCGUUACCCGCAGAAGAAGCACCGGCUAACUCCGUGCCAGCAGCCGCGGUAAUUC
This 406-nucleotide ribosomal RNA is filed under the name uncultured bacterium. Its description in RNAcentral is "partial 16S ribosomal RNA". It matches the Rfam family "Bacterial small subunit ribosomal RNA", at positions 29 to 526 of the family's 1533-position model. The record is from RNAcentral.